This is a long non-coding RNA of Rhineura floridana, 641 nucleotides long. RefSeq lists it as uncharacterized. NCBI's taxonomy places the organism in Eukaryota, Metazoa, Chordata, Lepidosauria, Squamata, Rhineuridae. The record is from RefSeq and is a predicted model, not a curated record. The transcript is spliced from 3 exons.
AGGGAAGCUCCCCCUCCCAUUGACCCCAGACUGAGGGAAUCCCCCCUCUCUCCCUCCGGCGUACUACAAGUUCCCCAACCGCGCUCCGUCCCCCUCUGUCCUAUUCCGAGGUGCUCGUGCAAGGCACAGAGUGCGAGGAAGGGUUAACAGCGCGCGCUUAGCACCUCCUGACAGGCGGUAGUCCUGAAACCGGGCGAGUUGGAGGGAGCCCUCAGUCCAUCCUGCCGACGCCCCGCGCUGGGAGUGUAGUUACCUGGGCUUUCUUCUCUGAGAAACUACUCGCUACCGCAGCAACAGGCUGACUCUGUGGAGAGGGAGCCAAAACUUGGCCUUCUUAAGGCGCCCGCCCGCUCCAAACCGGAGCGCCAACUUUCGCAGAUUUCUUUAAUGAAGCAGUGUUGUCCAAUAGACAGAACGCUGGCUUUGGACACAGGAGACCUGAGAUUUGAAUUGACCAAUGGUUAGUUUGGGGCAAGUCACUGUUUUUCAGCCUGAGUCUUAUCUAUAAAAUUGGAUGUUAUUAACAUGCCUUAUCUUAAAACAAUUCUUAAAACAAUUUGGGGAUAUCUUUCCCCACAACAGAUUCCAGCCCUCAGGAAUUUAAGUAUGGUAUGUAAAGAAAAAUAAACAGAUUAUCUGAA